Molecule: ribosomal RNA, 2133 nt
Filed under: Triticum aestivum (bread wheat)
Lineage: Eukaryota; Viridiplantae; Streptophyta; Magnoliopsida; Poales; Poaceae
Description: partial small subunit ribosomal RNA
Source: RNAcentral
AUGGCGCGCGGCGCGGAGGAGGCCGUCGGCGUCGUGGGGAUGGGGUUCCCCGCCGACGCCGGCCACGGCCUCGCGCUGCGGCACGGCGUCCUCGCGGGGAGGCGCGGCGACGAAUCCGCCGACUCCGACGACCCCCGCCUCCCGCCGCUGCGUCUCGGCGCCUCCUACUACGCCUCCGACGGGGCCGGGGCCGCGCUCGCCAGCCCCGCCUCCAGCUCCUCCUCCGACGCCUUCCUCAGCACGACCUCCACGCCUUCAGGGCUGCUGAAUCCGUACGGGGUGUGGUCGCCGCCACGCGCGCCGUCGGAGGCGUCGGAGUUCGGCACCGCGCGCGAGUACGACACCACCGACCUCUUCUUCGGCGAGAACUGGCUCUACGACGACCUCCUGUUCCACCGCGAGCCGGAGAUCAGCGGUAAGAGCGGCGACGGCGACGGCGACGAGGAGGACAAGUUCAUUGUUGACCCCGACGUCGGCGAGAUUGGCGACGACAGCAGCCGACGCCACGAGCGCAGCAAGAGCAAUGCAGAGGCGUAUACGUCACCGCCCUGCAGUUGUUGCCACGGCGAAAUGGAGCACAAGAAUGGUCGGGAGUUUGCGAGGGAUUCUUGGUCUGCUGUGUACGGGAGGUAUCAGAUCAUGGACGACCUGACGGAGGUGCUUGAUGAGUGCGGUGCAGACGCGCACCAGUUCAGGCGCAAUGUGAAUGACGAUGCCACACUCAAGGGCGGUCCGUUAGUGGAUUCCAGGAGUGGAGAUGACCAGGAGUUUGAUCUCAGUGCGCUGGAGAAGGAGCUUCAGGUGCUCAGUCCGUACUUGUCUGAAGACGCAAAUGCUGCUAACAACCAUAGGUUUAACCAUGACUUCAGAGUAAACGAUGAACUAAAUAUUGACCUUAUAACAGAUGACAAAAUUGUCGAUGACAAGGAAUUUCUAAAGGAUAGUUACAGCGUGCACCCUUUUCCUGAGAUUAGUAUUCCUGAAGAUAUUUAUGGGAUGGAGGACUUCGGGCCAGCGGAUACAAAUGUUCAAAAUGCUGCUCAUAGUAUCGAUGAAGGUCCGAAAACGGAGAUUGAUCUUGCAAGCUCUAUUUUUCAUCAAGAAUAUGAGGAAUUUGAGUUGAGGAUUUUCCACCGGAAGAACAGGACUGGCUUUGAGGAAAACAAAGAUUUUCCUAUUGUGGUAGAUUCAGUUGUUGCCGGAAGAUAUCGCAUCACUGAAUAUCUUGGUUCCGCUGCAUUCAGCAGGGUCGUACAGGCACAUGAUCUUCGCACAGGAAUGGAUGUCUGCCUUAAAAUAAUUAAAAAUGACAAGGAUUUCUUUGAUCAGAGUUUGGAUGAGAUAAAGCUCCUUAAGUUUGUAAAUAAACAUGAUCCGGCAGAUGCACAUCAUAUAUUGCGCCUAUAUGAUUUUUUCUACUAUCAGGAACAUCUUUUCAUUGUAACCGAAUUGCUACGGGCAAAUCUAUAUGAGUUUCAGAAGUAUAACCAGGAGUCCAGUGAUGAGGUCUACUUUUCAUUGCCCAGAAUACAGGCUAUAGCUCGACAGUGCUUAGAAGCUUUGGUGUAUUUGCAUGAUUUAAAUAUAGUUCACUGUGACCUGAAACCAGAGAACAUCCUUAUGAAGAGCUACAGCAGAUGUGAAGUCAAGGUUAUUGAUCUUGGAAGCAGUUGCUUCUUGACAGAUAACUUAAGCCUAUACGUCCAGUCACGUUCUUACCGUGCUCCUGAGAUUAUUUUGGGUCUUCCAUAUGACCAGAGGAUUGACAUUUGGUCUCUUGGAUGUAUAUUCGCCGAACUGUACUCUGGUGAAGUGCUCUUUCCUAAUGAAGCGGUGUCAACAAUUCUUGCUCGGAUGAUUGGAACAAUUGGCCCAAUUGACACGCAGAUGCUUGCGUUGGGACAGGAGACUCCGAAGUACUUUACAGAAGAGUACGACCUUUUCCACAAGAACGAGGAGACGGGUCAGCUGGAGUAUUUGAUACCAGAGAAAUCCUCCUUGCGGCGCCACUUGCGAUGCCCCGACUCCAAGUUUGUUGAUUUCCUGUCCUGCCUGCUGCAAAUCAACCCCAGAAAGAGACCAACAGCCAGGGAAGCGUUGCGGCAUCGAUGGUUUUCACACAAGUAUCGUUGA